RNAcentral lists this non-coding RNA (117 nucleotides) under Pan troglodytes (chimpanzee). The record is from Rfam by way of RNAcentral. Lineage: Eukaryota; Metazoa; Chordata; Mammalia; Primates; Hominidae. RNAcentral also lists the same sequence under 1 other name.
GCCAGGUGUGGUGGCUCAUGCCUGUAAUCCUAGCACUUUGGGAGGCUGAGGCAGGAGGAUCCCUUGAGCCCAGGAGUUCAAGACCAGUCUGGGCAACAUAGGGAGACCCUGUCUCUU